ACGGAUCCAACGGAAUCCGCUACAAGCUGGGGGCAUACAGUCGCCCCUUUUUCCUGCCUCCCCCCUACGGAAACUGAACAUUUAAAACCCUAACUUACACGACAUUUUUACACUUCUUUUACCUCUUUAGUUGUAACGUCAAUGAGUGUUACGUAAAAGCGCGAGUCCAGAACAUUUUACGGAACUUUUCCCCCCUGACGUUACAACGUUAGCUAGCUUUACAAAUUCCUGUCGCGACGUUAACGCCGAAAAACCGCUGCGACCUAACGGCUGUCAAACAGACGACAAGAAAACAGUUUACUACCAGCUCCCAGCUUCGGUAAACAACGGUCGACGGUGGAUUGAAAGCGCGCGAGAAGAGGAGCGAGCGCGGUGACGUAUGACUUCGCGGGGGCGCGCAUGUGGCCACAGUCGCGUCCACGCCGAGGUAAACAGUUACCUGGUAGAGCCGAGGACGGAGAGUGGAGGCGGAGGGAAGCUCGCUGCUGGGCUGCAUCGACCGCAGAAGUGAAGAGGAUUGUUGCUCAAGUCUGCUGCAGCCUCAUGUGGUCAGUGGGGGAAUUCUCAUGCACUCAGCGUCUGACCCUCCGAGAGGAUAUCCCAGAGGAUGAUGGUUAGGUUUUGCGUGUGACCACAUAAGGAUCAACAACAUGAGUCUGGAGCUCUGCAAGCUCUCAUUGCCGUCUCCACUGUUUCCCAGACUGAGGAGAUGUUGAAAGUUUACUCUGUUCUCCCUGUCCAUUCUGUUUCUGCAUUGUUUGCCUUAUAACUCAGCAUCAUAAUCAUGAGCAUACACAACAGGACUGAUGACAGAGCUCCGUUUGUGCUUUUUCAAUUUUUCCAUUCCAAGCAGGCAAACCACUACCUCACACCUCACAGUUCAUAAGUCCACCUAAAGUUGUCUCCGAGCGUUCUUAGAGGUGGCCUACACGAAGUUGUGGGUUCAGCGGAAUUCAUCUGUGGAGCUGAAAAAAAA
Molecule: long non-coding RNA, 976 nt
Organism: Epinephelus fuscoguttatus (brown-marbled grouper)
Lineage: Eukaryota; Metazoa; Chordata; Actinopteri; Perciformes; Serranidae
Exons: 3
Source: RefSeq, a predicted model, not a curated record